This 958-nucleotide ribosomal RNA is filed under the name Pantoea agglomerans. RNAcentral's name for it is "partial 23S ribosomal RNA". It matches the Rfam family "Bacterial large subunit ribosomal RNA", at positions 322 to 1281 of the family's 2925-position model. The record is from RNAcentral. Lineage: Bacteria; Pseudomonadati; Pseudomonadota; Gammaproteobacteria; Enterobacterales; Erwiniaceae.
UUGUGUGUUAGUGGAAGCGUCUGGAAAGUCGCAGGGUACAGGGUGAUACUCCCGUACACAAAAACACACAUGCUGUGAGCUCGAUGAGUAAGGCGGGACACGUGGUAUCCUGUCUGAAUAUGGGGGGACCAUCCUCCAAGGCUAAAUACUCCUGACUGACCGAUAGUGAACCAGUACCGUGAGGGAAAGGCGAAAAGAACCCCGGCGAGGGGAGUGAAACAGAACCUGAAACCGUGUACGUACAAGCAGUGGGAGCCUUCUUUAUGGGGGUGACUGCGUACCUUUUGUAUAAUGGGUCAGCGACUUAUAUUCUGUAGCAAGGUUAACCGUAUAGGGGAGCCGCAGGGAAACCGAGUCUUAACUGGGCGUUAAGUUGCAGGGUAUAGACCCGAAACCCGGUGAUCUAGCCAUGGGCAGGUUGAAGGUUGGGUAACACUAACUGGAGGACCGAACCGACUAAUGUUGAAAAAUUAGCGGAUGACCUGUGGCUGGGGGUGAAAGGCCAAUCAAACCGGGAGAUAGCUGGUUCUCCCCGAAAGCUAUUUAGGUAGCGCCUCGUGAACUCAUCUUCGGGGGUAGAGCACUGUUUCGGCUAGGGGGCCAUCCCGGCUUACCAACCCGAUGCAAACUGCGAAUACCGAAGAAUGUUAUCACGGGAGACACACGGCGGGUGCUAACGUCCGUCGUGAAGAGGGAAACAACCCAGACCGCCAGCUAAGGUCCCAAAGUCAUGGUUAAGUGGGAAACGAUGUGGGAAGGCACAGACAGCCAGGAUGUUGGCUUAGAAGCAGCCAUCAUUUAAAGAAAGCGUAAUAGCUCACUGGUCGAGUCGGCCUGCGCGGAAGAUGUAACGGGGCUAAACCAUGCACCGAAGCUGCGGCAGCGACGCUUAUGCGUUGUUGGGUAGGGGAGCGUUCUGUAAGCCGUCGAAGGUGUGCUGUGAGGCAUGCUGGAGGUA